AGCGAACGCUGGCGGCAGGCUUAACACAUGCAAGUCGAGCGGGCACUUUCGGGUGUCAGCGGCGGACGGGUGAGUAACGCGUGGGAACGUGCCCUCUGGUUCGGAAUAACUCAGGGAAACUUUAGCUAAUACCGGAUACGCCCUUUUGGGGAAAGGCUUGCUGCCGGAGGAUCGGCCCGCGUCUGAUUAGCUAGUUGGUGAGGUAACGGCUCACCAAGGCGACGGUCAGUAGCUGGUCUGAGAGGAUGAUCAGCCACACUGGGACUGAGACACGGCCCAGACUCCUACGGGAGGCAGCAGUGGGGAAUAUUGGACAAUGGGCGCAAGCCUGAUCCAGCCAUGCCGCGUGAGUGAUGAAGGCCUUAGGGUUGUAAAGCUCUUUUAUCCGGGACGAUAAUGACGGUACCGGAGGAAUAAGCCCCGGCUAACUUCGUG
RNAcentral lists this ribosomal RNA (435 nucleotides) under uncultured bacterium. RNAcentral's name for it is "partial 16S ribosomal RNA". It matches the Rfam family "Bacterial small subunit ribosomal RNA", at positions 29 to 507 of the family's 1533-position model. The record is from RNAcentral.